AUUUUAUUCUCUUUUGGCAAAUAUUAAAUAUUCAGCAAAGCAAUAUUUGUUUCCCUCUCUGUACAUGGACUGUCUAUUGCAAGUCGAGUCAUUUCUCUCCAGAUGCUUAUCUUCAUGAUGAAAUAUCUCCGAAGAGUUGAUACUUUUUAAGCCAAAAUAAGAAUAAAUUUGUAUCACUAAUAUUUAUGAUAGAUAUGUGUACAGGUAAAUUGGCGCAAAUGAGUUCCGAAUAUUGGCGCAAUUGAUACAUUUGGAAAACAAAAUUUGGCGCAAAU
This 275-nucleotide long non-coding RNA is filed under the name Mytilus galloprovincialis (Mediterranean mussel). The record is from RNAcentral. Lineage: Eukaryota; Metazoa; Mollusca; Bivalvia; Mytilida; Mytilidae.